CAAACACUCAACUACAACUACAAAUAUACAAACUACAACAACCCAAUACUCAUCAACGAACACAACUUUGAAAGCCUACCUACCCUCAUCUGCUACUAGCGUUACACCCAUAUCUACUACAACAACACAAAACCCAAUCCCAACCAGCCCUGUAUCUACUGCUAUCAACAGCUCUAAAGAAACUAUAUCCGUACACACCAAAACAAUGGCUGCAGUUACAACCACAGUCCAAACCCUAAAUACUUUCCAUGCUUCAGGAAAAUAUUAUAUUAUUGCCCUGAAUGGCAGGAUCUCUACAACUUUAUCUCAGGAAAAUGACUAUGAAACCAUUGUGAAACAGAUCAAGGAUGAACUAGUUAGACGAGGAUUCCCAUCAGCCAUGAGUGUUCGCCUCCUGAAAGCAAUUACCACAAAUGGUCUGUAGAGGCCAAAUUUGAAUAUGAUCACUGUAAAUAUUGUUCUCUAAAGUUUGAAGUAUUUUUUUUUUCUUUUCCUUAAGUUUUGUAAGAUUACAUAUCUCUUGGAAUUGUACAUUUUUGUAUGUAAGAAACAAAAAAAAUAUAUAAUUUUUAGUCCUUAAAUGUUUCUCAUUGAUGCAAAGGCAAGACAAAUUUAUUCUAACCCAUCUAAAGUCAACUAAAAUCCUCUUGUGCAGGCACUUAAAUUUAACUUUAUACAGUUCCUUCUGUGUUUAAACCUUUAAGUAAGCUUCAUUUCAAAUCUACCAUUCUACUGUUCUACUUUAAUUGAGUAUUUCAGAGUGGCCUGCCACUGUGUUGUCACCAAAACAGAAACACUGUGAUAAUCUGAGGGACCAAGUUGGGAUGCAUAGAGGAUACAGGAAAAAUUUCACCAAAAAGUUCCAACAAAUAAAGUUUAAAGUAGCCUAAACAGGUCCAAUUAAUACAACUCUACUAAAAACAACUGACAAAAUACUGAGCAAACAAAAAAAAUAAACAACUAAACUUAAUACUGACCUAAAAUAAAUACUAAAAUGGAUUCUUUAUAUAAUGAUUUGAUAAAAAUAUUUUAAACCAUAGGGAGAACAGAAAUAACCAUCACUAUUAACUAAGGGCCAAAUUAUCUAAAUGAACCUUCACCAUCCCCUUGUUGAUAAGCCAGUGGUAUAUUAGUGUUGAGCUGGAAUUGUGGUCCUACAUCCUUUCAACAUUGCCUGCACCCUUUGUUCGAAUAGGAAGAAGCCAGGUCCCCAAAGCAGAUAAAUUAAAAAGAGAACAUAAUUGGUACAACUGAUAACCAGACAAUGUCAUUUUGUGUACACAUCAUAUAAUUUUUAUUUUAGCUAUAUUUGUAAAUUAAAUAUCUAAAAUAUAUAUGUUUAGUGAAACACAAGUCAGUUACAAUCUUACAAACAAGUAAGGUAAAUGUGUGGACUGUUUUAGCAAUUUAUGGCUUAUGCCUUUACAUGGGGCUAAAGUUUUCCUUUUUUGUAUCAGUCAUUUCAUAAAUAUUUUUUAUUAAUCAUACACUAUUCAUUUUCAUACUUAAAUCAUUCACUUUGGUUUUGCCACUGCUAUGUGCAUUUCUUUUUCUAUUUUUUUAUGUUUACAGCACUUUCAAUAGUCUUGCUACUAAAAUGUGCUUCAUAUAUAAGUUCGCCCCUCCUUACGUUCCAAAAUAAUCCUACAUUGAAAAUAUUAGUGAAGUCCAGUUUAUUGUCUGAACUGAUUCAAAAGUUUUAUUAGAGAAACUGAGCGGAUUGCAUCAUUGCAUUCACUGAUUUGCAAAAUGUAAUGCUACUGGGUGGGUAUUUAGAAUAUCAAGAGUGGUAAGAUACUUGCAUUGUGUGGUUGACUUUGCAACAAUCUCUAACAGAGCAUGCAUGUACCAACAGUGAGAUGAGGCAACAGGAGGAGAUUUGCUCUUCAUUAAUUACAGUUUCAAAAUAUGCUUAAAUUAUCCACCAGGAAAUAAUGAGGAGGAUUUAAUUUAACGAGACUUACCAUGUCCCUUGUCUUCCGUGUAGGACCAAAUAACUCAGAUAUCAAGUCUCAAUUUAUCUUGUUCAGGUCAUAUUUCUAACUUAUGAUGACAUAUUUAAGAUUAAAUACAGAUAAAAGGUUGGUGUAAUAACACAAAACAACUAAAGGAU
Cyprinodon variegatus (sheepshead minnow) is the source of this 2113-nucleotide long non-coding RNA. RefSeq lists it as uncharacterized. The transcript has 3 exons. Lineage: Eukaryota; Metazoa; Chordata; Actinopteri; Cyprinodontiformes; Cyprinodontidae. The record is from RefSeq and is a predicted model, not a curated record.